UUCCACUCAAAAUCAGAUGUCCUUAACCCAAAUUUUCCCUUCUCUUAUUCCAUCUUUCUUUUCCUUAGUUCGGUCGCUGCACUGUUCCUACAUCACCGUUGCCCGCCUCGAUCGAUCCGUUUGCUACUGUCCCAGCCUCUCGCCUGCCUCGACCCUUAGCUACUCAUCGACGCAACUUUUUACCCUGACCAACUGUCGUGCCUCCAUCACCGUUGUCCCAAGUCAUCGUACCCGUUUCAUCCAACCCGUGUCAGGUAAUCCGGUGAUGUAAUGCGAUGCAAAUGGAGGAGGAAUGAAUAAUCCAGAAUGUUUACCCUUCGGUCCUAGCAUAGAGAAUGAGCAAAUCAAUUAUAUAGAUACACCAUGACGAACAUUAGAGGCAAAUCUAAUGUCGUCGUUCCCGUUUCGGAAAAGCGAAGGACUCCAGGCGCGACAUCUUCCUCGGGCCCUUCCGCCGAUGCACGCCAUCCAUGUUUUCAAUUUUCACAGGGUCCUCAGGGGGACCUCUAUCAACAUCUUCAACAGAGGCCACUGGGAUUGGGCCGUUGUGUUGAUUGGGUCGUCUUCGAGCAGAUUCAAUUAGCUAAUAGAGUGCGAGCCAUCAUUACUAUAGCUUCUUGGGACCAGUUAUUUUCUAUCGUCGAGCCUACCUAUUCGGAGCUUACCUUGGAGUUUUGUUCGACAUUUGUCCUUCAGCACGUGAUGUCGAGCCAUGAUGAGCCAGGCACUAAUACUUUUUGACACGGCGGAAUGACACGUCUUCUGAGCAUAUCAAAAUUUGGAGCUGCCUUAGGACUCUAUACUGCGGAGUUCAUGAGUGCCGAGGGUUUCCUCACUUUAUACCAACACAUCCACUAUUCGUUGUCUCUAUGUUGGAUAGAGCUUACGGCUAGCACGACACCCUAUGACCUGAGUUGGUCGAAGGCGACUUCAUUUUCUUCGGCUUAUGAUAUAUUCAUGACAUAUUGGCUCACACAUCGACCGGUCGAUGGGAGAGUACCGGGGUCAUUGGUACAUUCGACGCUUACUUCCUAUGGAGCAUGGCAACGGGGUUUACCCUCGAUCUUGCCUACUUCAUCGCCCUUGCUUGCCGCCAUUAGACAUAAUAUAGUCGGAAGGGUCAUAUAUGCUUAGGCCCUUACAUGACUCACCUCACACGACACUUCGACCUCCUAGACACUCCGGAGCAAUCCUCCUCCUUUACACUAGCUGGACAGAAGACUCUAUAGGGGUUAUCGAGUAUGAGUCCCAUGAGGAUGAUGAAGCAAAUGUGUGGGGUGGAUCCUCCUCGAUACCGAUUAUCUCAUUUUGACCCUCAGGAUGAGCUGAAGGACUUCACAAAUGAUGCCCCUUUCCACCACGAGGAUCCAUCCACCUCCGAGUCACCGUACUACUACUUCUGCUGCUACCCUUGCGGACCUCUCUGAGUGGUUCACUCAUUUCGAGUGACAUUAUUUUGAGUGAUUCGAUAGUAUUGAUGCGACUUUGCAACAAAUCUGUCAGCACCUCCACAUAUCUUCUUCAGUGCCGACACCUUACGAUCCCGAUGCCUUUGACGAUGAAGAUCACUGAUUUUAUUUCUCUUCACUUUUAUUUUUAUCUUUUUUUUAUUUUUAUUUUUUGUUUUUUGUUUUUUUAAUUUUAUUUCUUAGACUUCUUUAGUUUAUUUUUCUUUUAAAGUAUGUUUUUAUUUUUAUGGUUGUUUCUAAUUGAGUUUGUAACCUCUUAAUCUUCUUCAUUAUUUGUUUUUAUUUUCUUAGUAGUUUGCUUGGAACCAUGCACUACAUUUAG
Molecule: long non-coding RNA, 1791 nt
Organism: Gossypium raimondii (Peruvian cotton)
Lineage: Eukaryota; Viridiplantae; Streptophyta; Magnoliopsida; Malvales; Malvaceae
Exons: 3
Source: RefSeq, a predicted model, not a curated record